This 313-nucleotide unclassified non-coding RNA is filed under the name uncultured Tomentella. RNAcentral describes it as "partial contains 5.8S ribosomal RNA, internal transcribed spacer 2, and large subunit ribosomal RNA". The record is from RNAcentral. Lineage: Eukaryota; Fungi; Basidiomycota; Agaricomycetes; Thelephorales; Thelephoraceae.
AACGCACCUUGCGCCCCUUGGUUAUUCCUCGGAGCAUGCCUGUUUGAGUAUCAUGAACACCUCAACUCUCAUGGUCUUCCAUGAUGAGCUUGGACUUUGGGGGUUUGCUGGCCUUGUGGCCAGCUCCUCUCAAAUGAAUCAGCUUGCCAGUGUUUGGCGGCGUCACGGGUGUGAUAACUAUCUACGCUCGUGGUCGUCCACCAGGUAACCCUCAGCGAUGAAGGUUCAUUGGGGCUCAUAAACGUCUCUCCCCAGCGAGGACAACUUUUGAACGUUCGAUCUCAAAUCAGGUAGGACUACCCGCUGAACUUAA